AAAAAACUUUAGUACUUGACUAUAUUCAUCUCCACAGCUCUUCAAGAAUAAGAAGGGUAUAUAUAAUAUGAUGUUAGCCAUGUGUUGGAGGAAUAAAAAUCUGGCACAUUUCAUUUUCACCCUCUUUUCUUUUGUUUUCACUCACUAAUUAGAAUGUGUUUGAAAACAACAAGUCCCACUAUAAAUGAGCUACUUCCUUUGAUGAUAUUCUUGUUUCCUUUAAAGUAAAAAGAGAUGGAUUUUUGGAGAGGUGGGUAUGAGAAGCUUGAGAAGAGAAGGAGGCCAAUUGCAAUUAGUAGAAGAGGAAAAGGGGUGAAGCUAAGGCGAUGUACAAGGAAGCUCAUGUCUAUGCUGUCAACAAAGAUUGGUAGGAAAUAUGUGAAUUUUGUGAAAAGAAUGAAGAUGGAGGAAGCAUCUCCUGCUAUUGUCUUCUCCUUCCACUGGGGUCUUCCAGUCCUUUCCCACACCAACAAAAUUUCCUUCUCCACUUUACUCACAUAAUUAACAUUCUUGUAAGUUUCUAUCAUUCUUGUAACUUUCUUCUACUUAAUUAGUGCUUUGCAAGCUCAUCAUAUGAUUUACUACUAUACUUUUAUUUAAUUCAUAUACAUAAGUUCACAUUCAUUGGGGAUGAUUAUCGAGAUAACGAGUAGACAAUCUUCCAAGUAUGAAGUAUGGUUUAAUUACAAGUCUUCCAAGAAAAGGAAAAGAAUUGAAGUAUAAAAAUGGAUCGAGAUUAGAAACUAAUUAAUACUACCAAGGAUCAACAAAUGAGAAUGAUAACUUGGGAAUUACUACUCAUCGAGUUUAGAGAAGAAAUCCAGAUGAAUGAAAUAGCAAAAUGAAGUAUAUACAAACACAGCCUUUGAAUUGAGAGAAUAUUGCUUCUCUUGAAUAUAAAACUUAAGGUAGGUAGGUAGGUAGAGGUAGGUUGAUGGAAAUUAAUAUCGAGGGAGGCCAGCAAGACCACCCUUGUAGCGAAUCCAUUCAUGAAGAGCACAUAGGAAUCCUUGAGCCUCCGCUUUGAGCCAAAAAUAUUCCCAAUCUUCAUCACUGAAUCAUUCUUCUUCUUCUUCUUCUUCCUCGACUCUGUCCGAAGCUUUAUUAUGGCCCCGUGAGCGUGACUAGUGUUGUCGUCCUCCUCCUUGAUGGUCUCCAGCUUCAUCUUCAGUAUGUCCUCCACUUCCAUUCUUGACUCCGUCCUCGUCACCUUCUUCUUCAUUCUGCAAGGCAUGCCCCACCGCAUUCUUGCUGGCUCGACUCAAAAAAAGCUCGUUGCAUCAGACUUGCAUUUUCAACAAAUUUAUGCAGAUCGAUUGGGCUUAUUUAUAAUGAGUAGACUUUUGGGAUGAAACAGGAUGUGUGUAGUAGUUGGAAAAGGUGAGUGUCAAUAGACUAGUUCUAACUUUUUUUCUUUUUUGCUCUUUACAACUUGACUCGAUCAUUGCAAACUCUUUCUUGUUUAACUAUUCAAAGCUUUAUUAUUUAUUAUACACCUGACAUCAUCUAGGAUUAGAUUAUAGAUGCCACUUUGCUUUAACAAUUUGGCUUGCUGCGAAUUUUAUGAUUCCUUCAAAACUGCCUUCAGCUUAUAAUACUUCCAUAAUUCGAGUUAUUGAUUAAUCAUGCAAUGACAAGAGGCACACUCCCAUGCAUCUACAUCCAUAUUAAUUAAAUUUUGAAUAUAUUUAAUAAACUAUAAUUAAAAUUAAUAAAUUAUAAUUGAAAUUAAUAAACCCAAAAAGGUUAAUCAACCCUACUUAGAUUAAUUUAUUACUCCCUCCGUCCCAUGAAUCUUGACACGUUUGGUUUCGACAUUGGAAUUAAGGAAUUAUAGAUUAGUGUUGUAAGGGCGUGUUUGAUAUUGGCUAAUACACUGUAUUAGCUAAUUUAGUACAGAUCAGUCUAGUGUUUGAUAUUAUUUAGUAAUAAUGCGGAUGACCCGGUUUAAUCCCACGACCCAAUAUUAUUAAUCCAGAUUUCUUAGGAUUAAUAAUACCACCUCCCCCUAGGAUUAACUUAAACUAGGAUAUUCUGUAUUUAGCCAUGAUAGCAAACACCAACUCAGUAUUAAUAAUAUGUCAUUAUCCACGCUAAAUAUUCUGGUUACAAAUUAUCCUACAUAGAGCCGAGCCGAAUAGCUGGAUGACCUGGCGGCGGCGGCGCACUCGGAGAAGCAACGACUGGAGGUGAGGCGGCGGCACGGCUCAAUCUGGUGUGGAGGUGAGGCGGUGGCGUAGAGGAAGGCUCACCGCUCUGGAACAGAGCACGUCUCGCCGGGAGGCUGGAGGCGCGGCUCGCUCUGGAAUGGAGCGCAUCUUGCUGGGAGGCUUGAGGCGCGGCGGUAAGGGAGGGCGGCUCGUCGGUCUGGAAUGGAGUGCGUCUCGCCGGAGGUCUCGCCGAUCUGGGGCCUGGGGGUGGAGGGAGGCAAGUUUUGGUUUGGGGUGGGGGAAGGGGAAGCGUCGCAUAGAGUGAGAAAGAAGUGAGAUGAAGAUGAUUAUGAAUUUAGGGUUAGGAAAUUGGGGUGGGGAGGCGGGCGCAGCUUUAGGAAAGUAAAAAAAAAAAAUUAUAUAUAUUUAUCGGUCGGUUCGGUUUUUGACCGAUCAAAUUUGGGAAAACCGAACCGGCCGAAAAAACCGAGAUUUUUGGAAAAAAAUGGACCAAAUCGACCGAUCAUAGCAAAAAAAAAUCGACCGAAAACUGAUCGGUUCGGCGUAUUUUUUCCGGUUUUUUCGGUCGGCUUGGUUUUGCUCACCCCUAUCUAGGUCUAGGCAGCAUGUUCCGUCGUUACUUGUGUUAUUUUUUUUAGUUAGUUUAAUCGUAUUUUUGUAAGGUUGUGUGAUUCAGUUGAGAUAUUUGAUUUUGAUUUAUCAAGUUAAAGCUUAGUUUAAAUUGUGAUGUUUUAAUUUGAAAAGGAUGAUUUUGAUAUCAAAACGUUUGGAAGUUUGAAAUGAUUUAUAAGCUUACGAUGAUGCAAAUUUUGGAUAGAAGCAUAGUGAGCCGCGACGCACAACGAGCUGACUAAGGGCACAACUUGAAGUCAGAGACUCUUGUCAACCGUGACACACAGUGAUCCAAGCUGACCAGUUGAAUGCAAAAAUAGGCAGAACGACGGUCAGCCACAGUGUACUCCCAACCGAGCUGACCGAUACGGUUUUAUCUUAAAAUAUAACGUGAAUAUACGCUUCAACAACAAUUUUCAGGACAUUAUCUCAAUUCUUUUCCAAUUUUUUUUCUUUAAAACUUGUGAAAGUGUAGAAAUACCUAGAUUUGCAUAUUUUUCUUUAUCAACAUCAUUGUGGAGAAGAUUUCAAGUUUAAUUCAUAAGAUUUUCAUUAUCUUCCUUUUCAAUGUUUAUUUCAUGGAUUAAUUUUUUCUUACUUGGAUUAUUUUCUCGAUGAUGAACUAAAUUCCUAAUCUAGGGUUCGGG
This 3430-nucleotide long non-coding RNA is filed under the name Salvia miltiorrhiza (redroot sage). RNAcentral describes it as "long non-coding RNA (SMIL_LNC004580)". Lineage: Eukaryota; Viridiplantae; Streptophyta; Magnoliopsida; Lamiales; Lamiaceae. The record is from RNAcentral.